AGUGAACGCUGGCGGCAGGCCUAAUACAUGCAAGUCGAACGGCAGCACAGCAGAGCUUGCUCUGUGGGUGGCGAGUGGCGGACGGGUGAGGAAUACAUGGGAAUCUGCCCAGUCGUGGGGGAUAACGUAGGGAAACUUACGCUAAUACCGCAUGCGCCCUUCGGGGGAAAGCCGGGGACCUUCGGGCCUGGCGCGAUUGGAUGAGCCCAUGUCGGAUUAGCUAGUUGGCGGGGUAAUGGCCCACCAAGGCGACGAUCCGUAGCUGGUCUGAGAGGAUGAUCAGCCACACUGGAACUGAGACACGGUCCAGACUCCUACGGGAGGCAGCAGUAGGGAAUAUUGGACAAUGGGCGCAAGCCUGAUCCAGCCAUGCCGCGUGAGUGAAGAAGGCCCUCGGGUUGUAAAGCUCUUUUGUCCGGAAAGAAAAGCGCCGGGUUAAUACCCUAGUGUCCUGACGGUACCGGAAGAAUAAGCACCGGCUAACCUUCGUG
Molecule: ribosomal RNA, 491 nt
Filed under: uncultured bacterium
Lineage: Bacteria
Description: bacterial SSU rRNA
Rfam family: Bacterial small subunit ribosomal RNA
Source: RNAcentral